GAUGAACGCUGGCGGCGUGCCUAAUACAUGCAAGUCGAGCGAACAGACGAGGAGCUUGCUCCUCUGACGUUAGCGGCGGACGGGUGAGUAACACGUGGAUAACCUACCUAUAAGACUGGGAUAACUUCGGGAAACCGGAGCUAAUACCGGAUAAUAUAUUGAACCGCAUGGUUCGAUAGUGAAAGACGGUUUUGCUGUCACUUAUAGAUGGAUCCGCGCCGCAUUAGCUAGUUGGUAAGGUAACGGCUUACCAAGGCAACGAUGCGUAUCCGACCUGAGAGGGUGAUCGGCCACACUGGAACUGAGACACGGUCCAGACUCCUACGGGAGGCAGCAGUAGGCAAUCUUCCGCAAUGGGCGAAAGCCUUACGGAGCAACGCCGCGUGAGUGAUGAAGGUCUUCGGAUCGUAAAACUCUGUUAUUAGGGAAGAACAAAUGUGUAAGUAACUAUGCACGUCUUGACGGUACCUAAUCAGAAAGCCACGGCUAACUACGUG
Molecule: ribosomal RNA, 497 nt
Filed under: uncultured bacterium
Lineage: Bacteria
Description: partial 16S ribosomal RNA
Rfam family: Bacterial small subunit ribosomal RNA
Source: RNAcentral